UGGCCUCCUGGAACAAUUAAAACAGAGAUUUUCUCUAUCUACCCUUCUUUGUGUAGAUCUUACACUGUGGCUUUGGCGAUAGUCUUUGCUCACAUGAGAAGCUUCCCAGACGGUCUUCACUGAAGAAAUGCCAGCUUCACCUAGAACCUCUCUCUCCGAGACAGAGCAGAACGAAAAGUUGGGAGAGAUGACUUUUGGAUUUUAAUUUUCUUGAACUUUACUUUGUGAGGGGUUCCUGCAGGACAUCCAGGAGAGCAGUGUUGGUAUCUGGAAGGACAGUUGAAGAUGGGAGCACCGUUGUUCUGAUGGACAGCUAUUCUCCUUCUAUGGGGAAAGUAGCCCUGCCUCAGGUUGCCAAUAGGCUUAGUGGUGAAAUCAAAGGAUUAGGAGAACACAAAGCUAGAUACUGUUAGAGGACAUUUUUUUCCAAUUUUUUUUGCCCUCUCUUAUGAAGAAGGAACUCCAUUAACAU
Trichechus manatus latirostris (Florida manatee) is the source of this 472-nucleotide long non-coding RNA. RefSeq lists it as uncharacterized. Lineage: Eukaryota; Metazoa; Chordata; Mammalia; Sirenia; Trichechidae. The record is from RefSeq and is a predicted model, not a curated record. The transcript is spliced from 3 exons.